GCCAGGUAUGGUGGCGUGCACCUGUAAUCCCAGCUACACAGGAGGCCAAGGCAGGAGGAUUGCUUGAGCCUAGGGGUUCAAAGUUGCAGUGAGCUAUGAUCGUGCCACUGCACUCCAGCCUAGGCAACAUGGUGAGACCCUGUCUAUA
Molecule: non-coding RNA, 148 nt
Filed under: Homo sapiens (human)
Lineage: Eukaryota; Metazoa; Chordata; Mammalia; Primates; Hominidae
Source: Rfam by way of RNAcentral